GAAGUCCUCUGUGGCAAAGUCCACGUUUUUCAGUUUCUGCCCUCUUUUUCUCUUUUUGAUUGAGGAAAGGGGAGAAGGGUGCAGAAUACAGACAGAUUAUGGUUAUCAGGUACUCUGAAUAUGGAAGAGCCGUUUCGGAGACUGAGCAAGGCCGUUGCUACAGCCAGCAAACAAGUGUGUUUCAUUCCCACUGACAUUGCUGUGGAGAUGCAAGAGGAACACCAAAUCCUCAGACUUAUUGCAGUUUAUGGAAAAAAUGGAGCUGGGAAUUUAUAGCAGACCUGGCAAGAAUGAAUGGUGGUGUGGGAUAAACUGAAGGGAUUGUUCCCGGCGAACUCAAGGUAAGAUCAUACCUGUACCUCCAUUUCAGAGAGUAAAUUGAAGUAGAAAAAGAUAUUGUAAGGUUGAUGCAGUUAUAUGAGUACAGAUACACUUCUGUAAUGCACAGCAUGUACUAUGGGUUGUAAGGUGUUGUUGUUCUGAUAUAACUACAUCUAUAACAAUUGUGCUGGUAUAACAGUGUUAAUAAAAAAUAUUCUAACUGACA
Molecule: long non-coding RNA, 547 nt
Filed under: Anas platyrhynchos platyrhynchos (common mallard)
Lineage: Eukaryota; Metazoa; Chordata; Aves; Anseriformes; Anatidae
Description: lncRNA (ENSAPLG00000022361.1)
Source: RNAcentral